GACGAACGCUGGCGGCGUGCUUAACACAUGCAAGUCGAACGGUAAGGCCCUUCGGGGUACACGAGUGGCGAACGGGUGAGUAACACGUGGGUGAUCUGCCCUGCACUUCGGGAUAAGCCUGGGAAACUGGGUCUAAUACCGGAUAGGACCACUGCCCGCAUGGGCGGUGGUGGAAAGCUUGUGCGGUGUGGGAUGGGCCCGCGGCCGAUCAGCUUGUUGGUGGGGUGAUGGCCUACCAAGGCGACGACGGGUAGCCGGCCUGAGAGGGUGACCGGCCACACUGGGACUGAGAUACGGCGCAGACUCCUACGGGAGGCAGCAGUGGGGAAUAUUGCACAAUGGGCGCAAGCCUGGUGCAGCGACGCCGCGUGAGGGAUGUCGGCCUUCGGGUUGUAAACCUCUUUCAGCGCCGACGAAGCGCAAGUGACGGUAGGUGCAGAAGAAGGACCGGCCAACUACGUGCCAGCCGCCGCAGUAA
RNAcentral lists this ribosomal RNA (478 nucleotides) under uncultured bacterium. Its description in RNAcentral is "partial 16S ribosomal RNA". It matches the Rfam family "Bacterial small subunit ribosomal RNA", at positions 28 to 523 of the family's 1533-position model. The record is from RNAcentral.